UUCUCCUCUUGAACUUGGGUACGUUGCUAUCUUCUUUAGCAUGUCCAUAUUGCCCUUAUCCUACUCCUCCCCCUCCGUGUCCCCCAACAUUUCCACCAAAACACCCUCCACAUGUAAAGCCACCUUUCCACCCCAAACCACCGCAUCACAAGCCACCCCAUGUCAAACCACCGCACAAGCCCCCGUAUGUUCCUAAACCACCUUAUUCCCCAAGCCCUAAACCGCCUUACGUGCCAAAACCACCUCAUACUCCAGUCCCUAGGCCACCAUAUUUCCCCAAACCACCUUACACACCAAGGCCUAAGCCACCAUAUGCGCCAAAACCACCUUAUACGCCAACCCCUAAGCCACCAUAUUUCCCCAAACCACCUUACACACCAAGGCCGAAGCCACCAUAUGUGCCAAAACCACCUUAUACGCCAGCCCCUAAGCCACCAUAUUUUCCCAAACCACCUUACACACCAAGGCCUAAGCCACCAUAUGCACCAAAACCACCUUAUACGCCAACACCUAAGCCACCAUAUUUCCCCAAACCACCUUACACACCAAGGCCUAAGCCACCGUACGUGCCAAAACCACCGUACACACCAAGGCCUAAGCCACCGUACGUGCCAAAACCACCAUACACACCAACCCCUAAGCCACCGUACGUGCCAAAACCACCUUACACCCCAACCCCUAAGCCACCGUACGUGCCAAAACCACCGUAUACCCCAACUCCUAAGCCACCGUACGUCCCAUCGCCACCUUAUACCCCUCGCCCUAAACCACCGUAUGUACCAUCACCACCUUAUACCCCUAGCCCUAAACCACCGUAUGUGCCAUCACCACCAUAUACCCCAAGCCCUACCCCACCAUAUGUACCAUCACCACCGUAUACCCCAAGCCCACCAUAUGUACCAUCACCACCGUAUACCCCAAGCCCUAGCCCACCACCACCACCAAGUGGAACACCGUGUCCUCCGCCGCCGCCACCAAAGGUGAGACCGUACCCUCCACCACCAUCACAAACUUGUCCCAUUGAUACUCUCAAGCUUGGUGCAUGCGUCGACGUGUUGGGCGGUCUAAUACACAUCGGUAUAGGCAGCAGUGCAAAGGACGCUUGCUGCCCCGUGCUGCAGGGGCUACUGGACUUGGAUGCUGCAUUAUGUCUUUGCACCACCAUUAAACUUAAGCUUUUGAAUAUCAAUCUUAUUAUACCGAUCGCCCUUGAAGUGCUUAUUGACUGCGGCAAGCAUCCGCCGCCCGGAUUCCAGUGUCCUGCCUAAUUGGUGACGCUUUCCAGCCAUGCAAUUGAUGAAUGCGACUUGUUUGUUUUGGAGAUUUUGUCAAAGAUAAUGACAUGUAAGUGCAUAAAGUGGAAGUACUUCAUGAUAUCGAAGUUUGUCUUAAUAUAUGUUUUGUUCCUCUUGUGCAUAUCAAACCAAUUAUCUUUGGAGCAAAAUCUAUGUUUUGAUGGAUCCAUACUAUCUGCAAGUUUGGGAUCAUGGGGUGUCAAAUAAUCGCUUAUUUGACCCAAAUUUUAUUUGAGUUGUCCAAUUAGUUGUAACCAUCAAAUAAUUUAUUAUCACACAUAAUUUUGAGAGUAAAUUCUCAAUUGACCAUUAAAAAAAAUAAUCACAACCGACAAAUUCAAAACAGAUACUAUCAUCGUGGAAAGAAAUAUUAAUUAUGCAUUUGGAUUCUGAUAUAAGAUACGCUGAUCUUUUGAUGAUAUCCAUUUUCGCGCCUACAUAAUUCAGAUUCAACCACAAUUUUAUUGUUAUCCAAUAGCUAUUAAUAAAAUAUUAUAUUAAAAAAAAGCACAAAACUUGACCGGCACUGAAUUUAUAUUCAUUGAUUAUACUAAUGGAACCUUUCAUUUGAUGAAUUUAAUUGUUCAAUGAAAAAUAACUAGCUGAAACAGUUGAAGACGGGGUGAUUUCUCACCUCGAAAAGAGAGAGAAUUCCCCCAAAGUGCCGCUUGAUAGGAUUUGAUUUAAUUUAAUUUAAUUUAAUUUUAUGCCUUGCCCUUAAAUAAUGUGGAGUAGAGAUUGCUCUUAUUAUUGAUUCAAAAUCAUUAGAUAUGCAUUAUUAUAAAAACUUUAUAGUAAUUAUUCAAUGAAAGAGAAUUAUUAUUAAUAUCAUUUUCUUUCCAGACUGAUUAAUCAAUGAUUGUUUUGCAGGAAUGGAGCAUUAUAUGAAUUUCAGUCCAAUAACAUUUAAACAGCUCUCUUUAAGAAUGAAUUUGAGUUUUAGGCUACACAAGAUAAUCUGCCGUAUCCCUUGAUUUAACAUUCUAGUUAUUAAUUGUACGUACACAAAAAAAAAAAAAAAUCAUGGAGUGAUUGAUUUUUCCCAAACAGUUAUACUGUAGAUCAUUAAAGAAAAUAUAAAAAAAUAAAAGUUGAAACGAGUGGCCUAAACAGUAAACUUUGGGUGAAAGUUACAGAUAAUAUUUAAUUACGAUGGAGUUUUUUUUCCCCCCUUUUUUGCAUUUCUGAAACGUGUUGCCUGAUUUAACAGAGAAAAGGGAAAAUUUGAUGGUUGACACUUGGUAAUGAUUUAUAAGUAAUUUAAGGAUUUUUCUAUAAUGCUGUAUGUACUUUUACAGCAUUAAUAGUGCAGUUAUUAUAAACCCUUUGAUUUGAGUGAUUUAAUCUUAGUCAUUUAUUUAAUAUAAUAAAUAAAUAAGUAAUUAAUUAAAAGCUAGCAAGUAACUUGUAAGUUGUAGGUAAAUAUUAGUUUUUUAAUUUUAAAUUAAUAUUAACUUUAUAGCAUUUAAUAUAAGUUAUCAGAACGAGAUGCAUGUAAUCCAAGUUGAUCAUCGAGUUCAUGAUCAUGACCCUGCUGCUUGGUCAAUUGAGAUCUUUCCGACAGUACCACAUGAAAAUUCAUUUUGUCGAGGAGCUGCUGAAGUUGUACAGGAAGAAACAGAAUCCAAUCUCUCUAGUCCGACCGGUACAUUUCUCCAGGUCGCCGCCCACCAGGGUCUGGCCGCGUUGGCAGUCGAAUUUGGCGGUGGCAUUCUCUGCUGGAGAACGGGAAAAUUCUCUUGUGCUCCGUGGAACUCUGUAGUGCAGCUGGAUUCAUUGCUUGCUGUGGUGGUUAUAUCUUAGAACGUAGAGGCAAAGCUAAAUUGGCUUGCUCAGAUUAUGACAGGAGUGGGAGGUGUUGCCACUGCCAGUAGAUUUAUAAAUGGUAUGAAAAAACUACAUUAAUAACUGUGCAAGAUCAUGUGAGAAGGAACCCGUCGAGCUGGAGAUGAUCAAAUCAAGGAAGGCAUUGAAGGGCGAGGCGGAGAGAAGGAGAACAGAAUCAGAGGCUGAGAUGACUCAGAUGACGAUGCAAACUCAAUUGCAGAUCGUCCUUUGUUGAGGGGAUGAAUUCGAGUCGAAAGAGGAAGCGCGAUGAAGAAGACGAAUCACGAGUUUCUCAGAGGUAAAAUUCUUGAACAUGUCAAUGGUUAAUCAUUCAGGAACUUGAGACACUCUUUAAGAAUCCAAUUUCCUUCAAGAACAUGAGAGAAAAAACCGAUGGUUAAAUUUAUGAGAUAAAUAAAGAGAUUUUAUUUUAUCAAAUUUUUUAUCUCUUUUUUAAUCUAAAACAACCUUUUCAACCGGUUUGUUAACCGAUUAUAGUAUUUUUUAAAUGAUUAAAUUUUUCAUUAAUAAAAAUAAUGUGUACCGUUGAUUAGAUCUAAUGGCAUAUAUUUCUUACACUAUUGAUGCUGUAAAAAAAAUUACGGUAUCAUAAAGGGACUCGUAAUUUAAUCCUAAGUGUUUAGGGAGAGCAGUGACCUCUUGAAAAAUCCUCUUGUUACACUUUUUUUUUUCAUUUUUUUCUACUCCUUUAUUUAUUUAUUUUAAAUCCUUAAUUAAUUAUAAUACAUAUAUAUAUUUUUUUUUCCAAAAAAGUUUCUAUCAAAUUGAUAACAUGUAGAUACACAAUGUCAGAAGGAUUUCUAUCCUUGGUAUCAGUCAUUGUGGAACAAUUCAAAUGAAUAUACAGACAACGAGAAAGAGGUAUCAAUACCCCCUCAGAUUUCUCACAAUUACUAACACAUGCGAGGAUUGCUUUUAUUAUUAACAGUUACAAACCCCCUCUAAAUGGAGUUAGCUCUUUUCGAUAGCGGAAAGCAGUGGUAUUACCAUCGUGGUGGGGCAAAAUUUAGAAACUGUAUUUAGGAUAGACUACGAUAAAAAUAUAAAAAGACAUCAACUUUUUCAAGAAAACGGGCGACGAGCUAGUUUGGUUGGGAAUACUAUAAUUUUUAAAAUAAUUGUAAUUAGUAUUACAGUAAAAAUUAUUAAUUAUGAAGAAAAUCAAUUAAAUAUUUAAUAAAAUUUAUUUUUUAAAAAUGUUAUGAGUUAUAAAAGCAGUCAUAUAUAUUUAGUAAAUUUAACUGUUAAACUACUGUAAGAAUAUAAAUGAUUGAAUUAGAUGUUAAGAAAAAUGUAUUUAGAUAUUUAUAAACAUGUAUAUAUAUAUAUAUAUAUAUUAUUGUGUAUACAUAAUAAUUGAUAACUAGAAAUAAAUAUUUUAUAUUAUUAAUUUUAUUUUUAUCUUGUUAUCUCAAUAUAAUUGGUAAUAAUAAUAAUCUCUUUAAAGUUAAUGAUUUUAUUACCUAAUUAAUAAGGAUAAUUUUAGAUUUUUAUAAUUUAUAUAAGGAUACAUAUGAAAUUGUAUACAAUAUAAAGUUGAUUUUCAAAAUCAAAUUUUAAAAAGCUACUCAUUUCUUACUUUUCAAGUGCAUCCGAAAAAUUGGAUAUUUGGAUCUGGUUAAAUUUUAUUUUAAAUUAAAAACUAAAUUAAAAAUAUUUAUUAAAAUUAAAUUAAAAAUUAAAAAUUAAAAUUUAUUUGUCAAUUUAUGUUGUUGUUGUAUGCUAUUCAUGUUGAAUUAUUAAUUGUUGAAUUAUGAUUGAAUUUUAUUUGAUAUUAUUAGGUAAAUUAUUGAAGGUUAUUUUAAAUUAAAAGUAAAUAUUAAAAAUUAAAUUGUAUUUGUGGAUCUUUAUGAUGUUGUUGUAUGUUACUCAUGUUUAAUUAUUAGUUGUUGAAUUAUGAUUGAAUUUUAUUAGGCAAAUUAUUGAAUUUUUAAAUUAUAUGUUAAAUUAUUGAAUUAUGACUUUUGCAGAUCUAGAUAUCCAAAAUAUCUGCCCACAUCUGUUGCGGAUAUAACCUGUAUCCGGAUUCACAUAUUUUUUUGCGGAUUCAGAUGUAGAUCCAAAUGUAGAAAUGUAAUGCAGAUAUAGAUGCAGAUGCACCUAUAUCAGGAUUCGGAUCCAGAUUUUGUCAACCCUAUUUCCCGCACUUUAAAAUUCUAGACCAAAAAACUACUAAUAUAUAUAGGGAAUAAUCUUUGAGUGAUAAUUAUAGAUUAUAAGAUUGUGGGGCUUUGAUUUUUUUUAAAAUUAUAUAAGUGUUUAGUUGAAUUUUUAUUGAAAAAAAUAAUUUUAACUUGGGUUAUUUAUGUAUUUUCAAUUGAAUAGGGGUUUAUAAAUACUUUUGUGGGGGUGUUACUAACAAUACUUCUUUUUCUUUUGGGGCGUGGGGCGUGGGGCGUGGGCUAUAAGUAUGGGUCAUGGCGAUCUAGCAUGUCCUCAUUGGCACCCUAAAAAAAUCCUCUUAGAAAUUUCAUUUUCAAUUAUAUUCUAUUUAGUGGUAAAGAUAAUAUUUUUUUCCCAUUAAAUAGACACUAAUUUCAUUUAUAAAUAUCUCAAGUUUUAAUAAUUUUCUCACUCUUGAAGUCUUAAUAUUUGUAUUCUUCUCUUCAAACUUUCUUUAUUAUUUAAUUUCUAUAAAAAAAUCUAAAAGAGAAAAAGUAAGAAAAACCUUAUACUUAGAAAAAGUAAGAAAAAGCUUAUUAUACAUAUAAGCUUUGGGUGGAGCGAUUAGUUUGAGAAUCCUCAAAAUUAUUUGAAGUGGGAUAAAAUUUUAUUUAGAGUAAUGAUAUAGUCACAAACUCUUGUACAAACUUAUUUUGUACACACUGAUGUGGCACGAUAAAAUUGGCUAAAUUAAAUAUCUCUUGACCCACAUGAUUUAUUUCUAUUAUUUUAUAUUUUCAUUCAACUAAUGAAUUAAUACCACAUCAGUUUGUGCAAAAUAAGUUUGUACAAGAAUUUGUGACUGUAUCAUCACUCUUUUAUUUAAUUUAUUUUCCAUUAUGUUGUAUCCUAAUUUGGUUGCUAUGUUUAUUACAAGAAUUUUGUUUUCGAUUAUAGAAUUACUAUGCAAGUAAAGUAAGUUGCAAAGAGAGAGAGAAAAUGUAAGUGGGUUAAUCUUAAUUCUAUUAAUAUUUGUCCUUAAAUAUGUAAUAUAAUAUAAGCAGAGUUUUAUGAGAUUAAUAAAGGGAUGCCAAUAGUCGACUGGUUAGGCGGGACCCCUACCUGUAAUAUAAAUCAUAAAAUGAAGCGAAUACACAAGGAGGGGGACAUAAACCAAAACCUCAAAGAGUAACUAAAAAUACACACGAAUAACUAAAAAAGAAUAAAGACAACAAAAAGAAAAGGAAAACCAUAAAUGCCAGCAUCUUAUGUGAGAAACAAUCUAUGCAUCCAAAUGGAGAAUACCAGAUAAGUCUGUAGGAAGAUCUUAAGGACAUAAGAAACACUGACUAGAUGAGACCAUGCCCAAUUGACCAAAAAAUUAGCAGCAGAGGUAGCCUUAUGAAACAGUCAGCUCUUAUAGUUUAUACAUGAGCCAACCUACUAAAUUUUUCAUUCAAUGUUAAACUUAUCUUGCCAAUUAUGCCAAUGACACAAUCUUGGGCGUUUAUAUAAUUUCAAUAAGAGUGAUAAAAGAUUUUGAUUGCAACAAAGUAUUUAUACAUAUUGUAUUUAUAUCAAUUAAUUGAGUAAUGACUCUAGCAUGGUUUGAACCCUCCCGACUAUAUAUAUAUAUAUAUAUAUAUAUAUAUAUAUAUAUAUAUAUAUAUAUAUAUAUAUAUAUAUAUAGAAAUGUUUAAAUCCAGAAUUUUAAAGUGCGGAAACGUCCGGGAAAAUGUAUAAACCGUGCGGUUUAAGCGCUUUAAGUUUUCCCGGACUUUUCCCGCACUUUAUGAUCCCGGAUAAAAAAACUACUAUAUAUAUAUAUAUAUAUAUAUAUAUAUAUAUAUAUAUAUAUAAGAGUGCUGGUAUAACAAUAUUGUAUAAUAAAUAUUUAAUUAGUUUAACAUUCGUAUUUAAUAACCACCAAUAAAAGUCUUGCAUUUUGAUUAGAUAAGGUAUAAAAGGGUUGCAGUUUUUAUUUCAUAUUGUAAUGAUAGUACUUUUAAAAUACAGUAUAAAAAUAAGGAUUAGAUUCCUCUCCUGGUUUAAGCAUUCAUGACCUUUUAAUAAUCUUAUUCCAUAUGUCAUGUAGUAAUAGUGUAUGGAUAGAAUAUAUUUUAAAUUUAUUAACCACCAAUGAACACAUAAAUUUUUAUUUAGAAGAAGUUCAAAUCAACAGAUUUUAAUCCGUGAACAUAAUAGAGAUCGAAGAGAAACUACAACUCAAAUAAGAAAAAAAGCCUUACAACUUCAUUUAACAAAUAUUAAAAAAGCCUUACAACUUCAUUUAAUAAAUAUUAAAAAAGCCUUACAACAUUUAUAUUAGAUUCACGAGCAACAAGGGAUCAAUAUUGAACAUGACAUGCAAUUAUUACAUCGAGACAUGAAUGUGUCUUCAAGUAUUAUACGAACUUGAAGCUCUCACACGUUAUUGUUAUUCUUUUAUGAGAAAAUAAACGAAACUAGUAACAUAUAAAAUAUUAAUAUGGUCAAUUAAUAUAUAUAUGUAUGUAUGUAUAUUUCCCUCAGAAACUGCAUAUGCGUGGGGCGUCACCAAUUAAUUAAUGGGUGGACACUGAAAUCCUGCUGGCGGAUACUUGCCACAGUCGUUGACAAGUACUUGCAGGGAGAUGGGUACGAGAAGAUUGAUGAGAUUUGGAGCCUUAAUUCUAAUGGCAGUGCAAAGACAUAUUGCAGCAUCCAAAUCUACUAGCCCAUGAAGCAAUGGGCAGCAUUUCUCCUUAGCACUGUCGCCAAGACCAAUGUGAAUUAAACCACCAAGAACAUCGACACAUGCACUAAGCUUGAGAGCAUUAAUGGGACAAGUUUUUUGUUGUUUUGGUGGCGGUGGGUAUCUCACGUUUGGUGGUGUUGGUGGCGAUUUUACAACUGGAGGAGGAGUUGGUUUUUCCUUUGGCGGUGGUGGUGGUUUCACAACUGGAGGAGGAGGAGUACUGGGUUUCACCUUUGGUGGUGGUGGUGGUUUUACAACUGGAGGAGGAGGAGUGGUUUUCACCUUUGGUGGGGGUGGUGGUUUUACAGCUGGAGGAGGAGGAGUUGGUUUCACUUUUGGUGGUCGGGGCGGCGGCUUAGGGCUCGGCGAAUGAGGCGGUGGGGGACAAUUUGGUGAAGAAGGAGGAGGAGGGGUUGGUUUGGAGCAGUCACAAGCUAAAGAAGAGAGCAAAGCACCCGAGUUCAGGAGGACAAUCAAGAAACUAGUUAAUUGAUAUUUGCCCAUGAUGAAAUAAUUUCGAAACUCUCUAAUGAACUAGCUAGCUAGGGUUUGGAAUGCAUUCACUAUUGAAUGAGUGCCUUUUUAUAGAGAGUAAGAAGUUUUGGAUUUUUAAAAUUUUUCAGUUUUAAUUCGUUGAUCCAUAGACUUAAGGGCAAAGUACAACCCAAGCCAACUCACGAAUGGACAGAUAGACAGACAUUAUAUAUUUUUUUCUUUAAUGCUUGGAACAUGGGAUUGAUUAUCGUUUUAAGGAAGAAGACUCGAUUGAUUAUUUAACCAAAAAGUUGGUAUAGUUAAUUAAGCGUAUUGUUCUUAUAAUUUGAAACGUAAAAUUUGCAAUUAAUCUCUAGCAAAUGCAAAACUUAAAACUCUAAUAUAACUUCUGCAUUAGAAUUUCGAAGGGCGUGGGGACCUGUACUCUCAAUUUCACAUGAAUAUUUGCAAGCUGUUCAAUCAUUGAAGACGAAUGCAAGCAACAAGCAUCUUGCGGGGACACUUCUUCAUUUUUCUUUGGGCCGUUACAUGAUAACAAUAUUUAUAGUUAUAUUAUUAGCCCAUUAACUAAUCUUAAUAUUAGAUAUUUUAACCUAUUAACUAAUCUUAAUAUGAGAUAUUUUUGUUAGUAUUUUUUACUAGUCCUUGUCAUGUAUAAAAUAGACCCACUAGUACACAAGUAAGAGUCUAUCUCAUGUAAAAAUUAACUCAAGAGUUGAGAGUUGUCUCAAGUUUAUAUUUAAUUCAAUAAGUUUUCUCAACCUAUCUGAGAUUUUUUCCUUAUCAUCCCCAUCACUUGCAAACCAAUAUAUCUUUUGUUUUUUUGGUCUUUAUCAUGCGGAAAAAUACAUAGUAUGUGCCAACUUGUGCAUAACUAUGAAUCUAAUACCAUAUAAAGGUAUGUGAGUCUAAUUCAUACUCUAAAAUUAGCUCAAGAGUUAAGGAUUACCUCUAAUUUAUAUUACUAGUUCAGUAACUAAUCUCAGCAUAUGGUGGCUCCACCAGAGGAAAGUGUUAUGCACCUAUAUACAUAAAUUAUAAUGAGUAAAAUUAUUCAUGAUGAUACAACCACAUUAAUGAAUAAUCAGUAGUAAUUGAACCAUGAAAGUGUCAUUCUUCGUUUAAGGGUGCCUUUGACAUAUUGUUUGCACACACAAAAAAAAAAAAAAAAGCGCUCAAAAAAGCCCCAAUUAAGGAUGUCCAUUGUACCCACAUAUGUCAGCAUAUGUGAGUUCUGAAACUCUUCAAAAAAAUACCUUUAUAUUAUUCGGAGUAUAAAUUUAUCUUGGAGAGUUUGGAGCAGAUUUGAUUUGGGUUUUCGUAAAAUUUAAUAUUCAAACAACUACUACUUCUUUAAAAGCAUAAAUAAACAAAUAAAUAAGGUGAUUAAUUUUUGUUUAAUUAGUGUGGUCAUUAAUUAUAGCGAUAUUGAAAUUUUAAUGCAUGAUCUUCUAAGAUUUGUUUUAGUUUUGAGAUUUCAGAUCAUAGUUGUUUGAUUUAUAUUUUAUUAUUUUGUGUUUUCAAAUCUUCGUGUAAAAAUGUCAACUACGCUUGCGCAAAUCUUGCUUUGUCCAUCUUUAAAAGAUCUGAAGAAGCUUCGAUUGCUCCCAAACUUUUAGAAAGAAUUCAAAAAUAUUAAUAUAUACCGCAUGAUAUGCGCUCACUGUUUAGAAAAAAAAUGUACUGCUAGAGUUUAUUUUUAAAUAUUCUCAAACUGCAUUCUGUUUUCUUACUAUAUUUUGGGAAAAUCAGUAUAAUUGAGAUGCGAAUAAGGUCGACAAUUAUACUAUUAAAAUGCAGUACAUGUGUUAUUUACGCAUUGCUUAUCUAAAUAGUUUGUUUUAUUUGCGCAUUGUUUAUAUAUAUAUAUAUUUAUUUAUUUAUUUAUUUAUUUAUUUAUCUAUAAUGUAUAACGAGGAUUCCCAAUCUUUUAAAUAUAAUAAAUAUGAAAAAUCGUUCUUCGUUUCUUGCAUGGCCAUUUUAAUAAAGCAGGUUAAGUUUAGGGAUGGCAAAAUCCUCCACGGGUUUGGGGCCCCAUGGAGCCCCACCCCAAAUGGAGAAAUUUUUUAGUAAUUUUUGGGGAAUGGGGUGGGGAAUGGGGGAAAAGUAAUCCCCAAAUUGUUAACGGGGUGGGGUUUGGUAUUGCACUCCCCACCCCACUCCCACCCCAAUCCCCAUUAUAUAUAAAUAUGUUUUUAAUUCUUAUUUAAUAAUUUGUAUUUUAUCAACUAUAAUGUCAAUUAAUGAUUUUUUUUAAUUUUUAUGUAAUAUAAAUAAAAUAUGAAUAAAAGAAAAUUCUACAAUAUUUUUCAACUUUAAAACAUUAAUAUAUUUUCUUUUCUCUUUUAAGGUGCUGCUUUCUUUAAAUAUUUUUCACUUUUAAUAUCAUUUUAAGAUAUUGUUUCAAAUUUUUAGAGAUUUUUUUUUAAAAUUAAAUACUUUAUAAUAUUGUGAUGAUUUUAUCUUAAGUCUCUAAUUUUUAAUUUACUGAAAUCAUAUUUUUAUAUCUACUAUAAAAUAUGUAAAUGGGGAAUGGGGUGGGGAUGGGGGAAUCAUUCCCCACGUGGGGAUUCCCCAUCCCCAACCCACUAAAUUUAUUGGGGAAUGGAGGCAAAAAUUUUUAAUGGGGUAGGCAUCCCCACCCCCACCCCGCCCCAUUGCCAUCCCUAGUUAAGUUAACGUGAAGUUACAUUUUUGAUCAUUCUGCCAUCUGAAGUAAGACCACAAAGUCGUGACUAUUGUGUAAAAGAAAAGUGAAAACAGAUCAAAGGUGAACAGUUUGACCUAUAAUUUCUCUGUUAACAAAACUAUAAUUAUUUUUUAUCGAACCCAAAAAAAGUAAAAAAAAAAAAAAUGUGUCCAAUAAGCGUUUAGCCUCAAUAAUUGCAUGCAUGCACAGAUAAUGUUCAUGAAAAAUCGACAGUGUUGAUGCAAGAAUUUUCGCGCACCAGCAGGAAGGCCGAAUAACCUUGGUGGUGAGGAUCCUGGGUAAAAUACCGGAGAUGGAAAAUGCGGUUGCUAGCUUUUGAAUUGCUUUAAUUUCAUAGAUACGAAAUAUAUCCAAUGAUACAGUAAAGAAAUAACAUAUGAUAGUAACAAGCCAAUUAGCUAGAUCUCUUCUUUUUAAGCUGACCUUGGUCUUUGUCACCUUGAUGAUAAGAUCCUUCGUGGUAGAAAUAGUAAAGAACAGGUGAGGAUCUCCUCAUGAAGCUAUUUCGAAGUCAAUAAGUAAUGGUGAGGUCAGCAAGAACCUUCUCUCUUAAUUAGUUGCUCUUCCCUCUCUCCUCGAUCAUCUCUUGAAUUAUAUGGGUGCUAUCUCCACGAGUUAAAAGACUUAUUUGUGUUCUUUUUUGUAGAGAAAAUAAAAUAUUCCUGUGCUACGUUCCUCAUUCUUAAUCCACCAUAGUUCUUCUGUUGGACAUUUGUUCUAUUUUCGUUAGUUGUGAUUCCUCAUCCUUAAUCCAUAACUCUUCUAUUGGACACAUGUUCUCCUUUCGUUAGUUAUGUUGAGAUUUCUUAAUGAAAUUUUACUAUAAGAAAAAAAAAAUAGUAAGUAGAGAUUAAUAAAAUCACCUUAAGUACUUUUUUGAGAUAAAAGUCACCUCAUGUACUUUAGAAAUGAUUAACUUUGUUUUUAAGUUAUUUUCAUAUUUAGAUAUUGAGCAUGCUGUCGUAUAUUCUAUAUUUUUUUUAUAUCAACAUGGUGGCAUAUUUUUUUUCUUUUUUUUUUUUGGUAUAACAGAUAAUAUAUGUGCCCUCGCCCCUCGCUCUUUGAAAUUCUAAUGCAUCGGAUACAAGGUAAUUCAUAUAAAAAAGACAAUUUUAAUAAGAUAAUCUUCGAAUACUCUCAUUGAUGAUGUGAACCCUUACCCGCAGCCUCUGCAGUAAAGCCUUCACUAGCUGGCUAAGCCCUUAAUUAGUAAUGACACAUUAAUAAUAUGAUCAAUCGACCAUUGAUCUUCUUGGUAUCACAAUGAAUCCCAUGUUUCAAGCAUGCAAUGAAAGAAAAAGGUAAAUGUCCGUUUAUCUGCCCAUUUGUGAGUUUGCUUGGAUUUUCCUUUAAGCCCUCGAGUCAAUGAAGCAAUCAAAAAUCAUAAAAAAGUAAAACGACCCAAAUACAAAACUCUCUCUAUAAAAAGGCAUCCAUUCAGUAGUGAAUGCACACCAAACCAGCCAGUUCGUUAGGGAGCUUUUGAAAUUAUUUCAUCAUGAGCAAAUAUCAAUUAACUAGUUUCUUGAUUGUCCUCUUGAACUUGGGCACUUUGGUCUCUUCUCUAGCUAAUGACCACUCAUAUAAUCUUCCUCCUCCUCUUCCUUCACCAAGCUGUCCCCCACCGCCUCAGUCGCCGAGCCCUAAGCCGCCGCCGCCACCACCACCAAUUGUUUACCCAACUCCUUGUCCCCCAGUUACAAAACCACCACCCACGCCAGAGGUGAAACCCACUCCUCCUCCUCCAGUUGUAAAACCACCACCCACGCCAGAGGUGAAACCCAAUCCUCCUCCUCCAGUUGUAAAACCACCACCACCACCACCAAAACAACAAACUUGUCCAAUUGAUGCUCUCAAGCUUGGUGCAUGCGUCGAUGUCCUUGAAGGUUUAAUUCACACUGGUCUUGCUCGUGAUGUUAAGAAGAAAUGCUGCCCAUUGCUUGACGGGCUAGCAGACUUGGAUGCUGCAAUAUGUCUUUGCACUGCCUUAGAAUUAAGGCUCUAAACCUCAUCGAUAUCCUCGCACCCUUCUCUUUGCAAGUACUUGUCACCGACUGCGGCAAACAUCCGCCAGUAGGAUUUCAGUGUCCUACCAAUUAAUUGGUGACGCCCCAUGCAUACCAUGCAGUUUGCGUGAAAAGGAGAUCUUAAUCGAUCAUAUUAAUAAUUGCAUGUUACUAGUUUCGUUUAUUUUCUCAUAAAAAAAUAAUAAUAAUAACGUGUGGGAGCUUCAAGUUAGUAGUACUUGAAGGCAUGCACGUGCGUGUGUGCGUAUGCCUUAUCCAUCAGUGAUAUCGCUUAUCAGUUGUAAAACCAAUAUUGUAUGUUGUGCAAUCCAAAUAAGGAAAAAAAAAAUGAAUGUUGUGGAAUAAAUAUUAGGGAAAAGGACAUUCAACCCUUCAACGUUUAGGAAAAUAGACAAAAAACCCUUCAACGUUUCAAAAAGGACUUAUAACUCCCUUUCCGUUAAUAAACACCGUUUGUUUUAACAGUAAAUUAUUUUUAAUUUUUAAUUACUAUUAUACCCUUAUAAUAAAUAUAAAUUAAUAUAUUGAUUUGAGACAUGUCACAAUUAAUAAUUUUUUUUAAACUAAAAAUUGAGAUACAAUUACAUUUUUGCCCAAAUUAUUUGCUACAAAUUAUACAUUUCUAAUGAUCAAACCUUUCAUAUGUGAUUAUUACUAAUAAAACGAAAUUUGAUUAAACCCUUUUUCUUUGAGGAAUCAAAACCAUAUUAUUAUUGUUAGAAAGGUAUAAUUUAUAGUAAAUAAUUUUGGCAAAAAAAUAAUUGUAUCUCAAUUUUAAGCUUUUAAAAAAUUAUUAAUUGUGAUAUAUCUCAAAUUAAUAUAUUAAUUUUUUUAUUAUAAGGGUAUAAUAGUAAUUAAAAUUUAAAAAUAAAUUUACUGUUAAAACAAACGGUGUUUGUUAACGGAAAGGGGGUUAUAAGUCCUUUUUGAAACGUUGAAGGAUUUUUUGUCCAUUUUCCUAAACGUUGGGGGGUUAAAUGUCAUUUUUCCUAAAUAUUAUUUACUGACAAAUUGUUUGGCAUUUAUUUUAGGGAGAGUGACAUUUUAUUUCUUCUUAAAAUUUAUUUCUAACACUUUAACUUUUAAUAUAUGUUUAAUACACCAUUUUAUUCAGAUGUUUGAACAGUUACUAACAAAAUACAGUUUUGAACGGUAAAAGUUAUAUUUCAAUAAAUAACUUAACUAAUUUUUAAUCUGCAGAGGUUUGGGCUAGCCAAUUUGGACAUGAGAAUGUCACCUUUAUUCUUCAACGACCUGUAUUUUUUCUAUUGUCGUUUUAACUCCAAAGAUGAAAUGAGAUAAAGAAAAAAAAAAAAAAGCUACUAGGGACUAAAUAGGUAAAUAGAAAGUUUAGGAGGGAUUAAAAUACUAUUCUUCUUUUAGUUUCUAUAUUUUAAGUUAAGUAUUUAUUUAAUCCCUAUUUUUAAAAAGUAUCUCAAGACAAUCAUGUUGCAAAACGUGUUACACUCCUAUCCUUUCUUUAUUUUUUAUUUUUCAAUAAUACAUUUGCAAUAAUAUUCUUGAAGAUAUUAAUAAAUAGGAAAAAAAUAGAAACUUAUCAAAUUAACCUUAAAAGUAAUAUAAAAAAUUACACAAACUUUUAUAUUAUUAUUUUACGUUUAGGAUUAAUUUAAUAAAUUCAUUUUUUAUAAAAUAAUUAUUCAUAAGAUUGUUGUAAGGUUAUUAAAAAUUAUUUUAAUUGACUGAUAUUAAUUUGUUUAUAAAUCAUUAUUAGUAAAAUUGUUGCACGGUACAAAAAAUACUAUUUCUUUCACAUAGAUAUUUAUUGGUUAAUUUACUAAUAAAUGACGAAUAAUUAAUUUACCAAUUAACUUUUUUAUAGAUAAAUUAAUUAAUGUCAAGAAUAUUGUUGGAAGGGCUAAAUAGAAAGAAAAACUAAGGGUAAGAAUGUAACGUAUUUAACUACAAGAGUGUUUUGAAGUAUUAUAUGGGUGCCAAAAGACUUAUUUGUGUUAUUUCCACGAGUUAAAAGACUUAUUUGUGUUCUUGUUUGUAGAGAAAGUAGAAUAUUUAUGUGUUAUGUUUCUCAUUCUUAAUCCAUAACUCUUCUGUUGGACAUGUGUCCUAUUUUCGUUGGCUGUUGAUUUCUCAUCAUUAAUCCAUAACUCUUCUAUUGGACAUGUGUCCUACUUUCGUUAGUUGUUGAGAUUUCUUGAUGAAAUUUUGCUAUGAGGAAAAAUAUAAAAUAGUAAGUAAAGAUUAAUAAAAUCACCUCAAGUAUUUUUUUGAGAUAAAGGUCAGCUCAUGCGCUUUAGAAAUGAUCAACUUAGUUUUUAAGCUAUUUUCAUAUUUAGAUAUUGAGCAUGUUGUCGUAUAUUCUAUUUUUUUAUAUCCACAUGGUGGCAUUUUUUUUUUUUUUUUGGGGGGUAUAACAGAUAAUAUAUGUGCCCUCGCCCCUCGCUCUUUGAAAUUCUAAUGCAUCGGAUACAAGGUAAUUCAUAUAAAAAAGACAAUUUUAAUAAGAUAAUCUUCGAAUACUCUCAUUGAUGAUGUGAACCCUUACCCGCAGCCUCUGCAGUAAAGCCUUCACUAGCUGGCUAAGCCCUUAAUUAGUAAUGACACAUUAAUAAUAUGAUCAAUCGACCAUUGAUCUUCUUGGUAUCACAAUGAAUCCCAUGUUUCAAGCAUGCAAUGAAAGAAAAAGGUAAAUGUCUGUUUAUCUGCCCAUUUGUGAGUUUGCUUGGAUUUUCUUUCAAGCCCUCGAGUCAAUGAAGCAAUUAAAAUUAACGAAAAAGUAAAACGACCCAAAUUCAUAACUCUCCCUACAAAAUGGCAUCCAUUCAGUAGUGAAUGCACUCCAAACCAGCCAGUUCGUUAGGGAGUUUUUGAAAUUAUUUCAUCAUGAGCAAAUAUCAAUUAACUAGUUUCUUGAUUGUCCUCUUGAACUUGGGCACUUUGGUCUCUUCUCUAGCUAAUGACCACUCAUAUAAUCCUCCUCCUCCUCCCCCCGUUACAAAACCACCACCCCCCCAAAAGUUGAAACCCACUCCUCCUCCUCCGGUUUUAAAACCACCACCGCCGGCGCCGCCAAAGCUGAAACCUCCUCCUCCUCCUCUAGUUGUAAAACCACCACCGCCGGCGACGCCAAAGGUGAAACCUCCUCCUCCUCCUCCAGUUGUAAAACCGCCGCCGCCGCCACCGCCAAAGGUGAAACCUCUUCCUCCUCCUCCAGUUGUAAAACCACCACCACCGCCGCCAAAGGUGAAAC
This 16444-nucleotide long non-coding RNA is filed under the name Citrus maxima (pomelo). RNAcentral's name for it is "long non-coding RNA (CMAX_LNC002831)". Lineage: Eukaryota; Viridiplantae; Streptophyta; Magnoliopsida; Sapindales; Rutaceae. The record is from RNAcentral.